GUAACGGCCCAACAAGCCUGUAAUCGGUACGGGUUGUGGGAGCAAGAGCCCGGAGAUGGACUCUGAGACACGAGUCCAGGCCCUACGGGGCGCAGCAGGCGCGAAAACUUUACAAUGCAGGCAACUGUGAUAAGGGAACCCCGAGUGCCCGUAUACGCGGGCUGUUCGGAUGUCUAAAAAGCAUCCGGAGAAAGGGCCGGGCAAGACCGGUGCCAGCCGCCGCGGUAAUACCGGCGGCUCGAGUGGUGGCCGCUUUUAUUGGGCUUAA
This 268-nucleotide ribosomal RNA is filed under the name uncultured archaeon. Its description in RNAcentral is "partial 16S ribosomal RNA". It matches the Rfam family "Archaeal small subunit ribosomal RNA", at positions 241 to 513 of the family's 1478-position model. The record is from RNAcentral.